Aethalodelphis obliquidens (Pacific white-sided dolphin) is the source of this 671-nucleotide long non-coding RNA. RefSeq lists it as uncharacterized. The transcript is spliced from 3 exons. Lineage: Eukaryota; Metazoa; Chordata; Mammalia; Artiodactyla; Delphinidae. The record is from RefSeq and is a predicted model, not a curated record.
AUUCCAUGAAAACGAAGAGUAGUAUUUGCCAUUAACUUCCUUUUCUCUCUCAUGAAAGAUACACCUGAUAACUAUUUGAAUGGUUUGUCCUUUAUUAGAUGCAAUUACAAACAUAUCCAAGUGAAGACGCAAAACUGGACUCCAGAUGAGCUAAAGAUGGAAGGAGGUGGCCACUGUAUUGCACAAGGAUAAUAGAGAUGACAGCUAGAGCGCAUCAUUACUGAGUGGCACUAAGUUGAAGAGUGACAGGAUGAGCUGGACAGAUUACCUCCCUAAGAGGCUUGCGGUUCACUGACCUAAUAAAGAUCUUAUGCCAUCACUUGGCAAAGACAGAAAGAGCCUUUCCCCAUCUUAAGACACUCUUUCGUGUGAGUCAGAACAGCUUCCUGAAUCCAUCCCAUGAAAAUGCUGAUGGUACUGAAGGGAAUCUGGUCUAACGUAAUUAUGGGAUGGGGUGAGGUAGAGAGAAGGAGAGGCAGGGCCUGUUGGGAAGCCAAGUGCAUCUUGGACAGAAUAAUGAAGAAGCUAUUAGCCUUCAGUAGGUGGGUGGAGUGGCCGUAUUUCUUAUUGGAAUCUUCAUGGUUGAUCUGAAGAGGAGGUAGGACUGUCGAUCCUGUGGAUGCCUCGGCUAAGGAGACAAGAUGGUGGAGUAGAAGGACUUGAGCUCGCCU